This 429-nucleotide ribosomal RNA is filed under the name uncultured bacterium. RNAcentral's name for it is "bacterial SSU rRNA". It matches the Rfam family "Bacterial small subunit ribosomal RNA", at positions 29 to 506 of the family's 1533-position model. The record is from RNAcentral.
AGCGAACGCUGGCGGCAGGCCUAACACAUGCAAGUCGAGCGCCCAGCAAUGGGAGCGGCAGACGGGAUAGUAACACGUGGGAACGUACCUUUCAGUUCGGAACAACCCAGGGAAACUUGGGCUAAUACCGAAUACGUCCGUAAGGAGAAAGAUUUAUCGCUGAAAGAUCGGCCCGCGCCUGAUUAGCUAGUUGGUGAGGUAAUGGCUCACCAAGGCGACGAUCAGUAGCUGGUCUGAGAGGAUGAUCAGCAUCACUGGGACUGAGACACGGCCCAGACUCCUACGGGAGGCAGCAGUGGGGAAUAUUGGACAAUGGGCGCAAGCCUGAUCCAGCCAUGCCGCGUGGAUGAUGAAGGCCUUAGGGUUGUAAAGUCUUUCGGCGGGGAAGAUAAUGACGGUACCCGCAGAAGAAGCCCCGGCUAACUUCGU